Molecule: long non-coding RNA, 515 nt
Organism: Medicago truncatula (barrel medic)
Lineage: Eukaryota; Viridiplantae; Streptophyta; Magnoliopsida; Fabales; Fabaceae
Exons: 2
Source: RefSeq, a predicted model, not a curated record
AAUUAAAAUUAUUCGAAGCAUAUAUAUAACAAUAUAAGAUGAGAUACUGCUAAGAGCUACUGACAAGAAACACAGAGGAACAAACAUGAAUCUACUAACAAAAAAUGUUUUUGAUAUGAUCAUCUUUCUUUCUCCACUUAUUGUUACAAUGAGCAUGAAAGUUCUAUGUGGCAGGGAUGGUACUUGUCCAAGGUUCAUGUGCGGACCUGGUAUUAUACCAAAGUGUGUAGGACGUUAUUGUGAGUGUUAGAAUGAUUUCAUAUAUUACAGAGUACAAGACCUUAUUUUGUAUUCAAUGAGCUUUCAUUUACUUAUUUUGUUGUCAUGCAAAAAUUUGAUUUUUUCUUAGUUUUUCUAAUUACACUGUUGUAGUUAUGAUUUUGUACUCUAAAGAGUUCUCUUGCAAUAAUUCAAUUUUCUUUUAGUUAUUCUAAUUACAUGGUUGUAGUUAUAGUUUUGUACUCUAGGAUUAUGCUAAUGAAAUGAAAGAAGACAACAAAAAAAAAUAUUAUCUA